UCGGGAAUAUUGCGCAAUGGAGGAAACUCUGACGCAGUGACGCCGCGUAUAGGAAGAAGGUUUUCGGAUUGUAAACUAUUGUCGUUAGGGAAGAAAAAGGACAGUACCUAAGGAGGAAGCUCCGGCUAACUACGUGCCAGCAGCCGCGGUAAUACGUAGGGAGCGAGCGUUAUCCGGAUUUAUUGGGUGUAAAGGGUGCGUAGACGGGCAAGCAAGUUAGUUGUGAAAUCCCUCGGCUCAACUGAGGAACUGCAGCUAAAACUACUAGUCUUGAGUGCAGGAGAGGUAAGUGGAAUUCCUAGUGUAGCGGUGAAAUGCGUAGAUAUUAGGAGGAACACCAGUGGCGAAGGCGACUUACUGGACUGUAACUGACGUUGAGGCACGAAAGUGUGGGGAGCAAACA
This 403-nucleotide ribosomal RNA is filed under the name uncultured bacterium. Its description in RNAcentral is "bacterial SSU rRNA". It matches the Rfam family "Bacterial small subunit ribosomal RNA", at positions 355 to 774 of the family's 1533-position model. The record is from RNAcentral.